This 723-nucleotide ribosomal RNA is filed under the name bacterium IMCC8480. RNAcentral's name for it is "bacterial SSU rRNA". It matches the Rfam family "Bacterial small subunit ribosomal RNA", at positions 28 to 750 of the family's 1533-position model. The record is from RNAcentral.
AUUGAACGUUGGCGGCACGCCUAAUACAUGCAAGUCGAACGAGAAAGCACUUCGGUGUGAGUACAGUGGCGGACGGGUGAGUAACGCGUAGGAAUCUACCUAGUAGUGGGGGACAACUCGAGGAAACUCGAGCUAAUACCGCAUACGCUCUUAGGAGGAAAGUGGGGGAUCUUCGGACCUCACGCUAUUAGAGGAGCCUGCGUUAGAUUAGCUUGUUGGUGAGGUAAAGGCUCACCAAGGCGACGAUCUAUAGCUGGUCUGAGAGGACGAUCAGCCACACUGGAACUGAGACACGGUCCAGACUCCUACGGGAGGCAGCAGUAGGGAAUCUUGGGCAAUGGGCGAAAGCCUGACCCAGCGAUGCCGCGUGUGCGAAGAAGGCCUUAGGGUUGUAAAGCACUUUCAGUCGUGAAGAAAAGCUACGAUUUAAUAUGUCGUGGUCUUGACGUUAGCGACAGAAGAAGUACCGGCUAACUCCGUGCCAGCAGCCGCGGUAAUACGGAGGGUACGAACGUUAAUCGGAAUUACUGGGCGUAAAGCGCGCGUAGGCGGUUUGAUAAGUGGGAUGUGAAAGCCCCGGGCUCAACCUGGGAACUGCAUUCCAAACUGUCAAACUAGAGUGUGGUAGAGGGCGGUAGAAUUUCCUGUGUAGCGGUGAAAUGCGUAGAUAUAGGAAGGAAUACCGAUGGCGAAGGCAGCCGCCUGACCAACACUGACGCUGAG